UCCUGGCUCAGGAUGAACGCUAGCUACAGGCUUAACACAUGCAAGUCGAGGGCGAGCGGGAAGUAGCUUGCAACUUGCCGGCGACCGGCGCACGGGUGAGUAACGCGUAUCCAACCUUCCCCUUAGUAGGGCAUAGCCCGUAGAAAUGCGGAUUAAUACCCUAUGUUAUUCGUCGAGGACAUCUGAAGUGAAUCAAAGGUUUACCGCUAAGGGAUGGGGAUGCGUCUGAUUAGGCAGCAGGCGGGGUAACGGCCCACCUGGCCGACGAUCAGUAGGGGUUCUGAGAGGAAGGUCCCCCACAUUGGAACUGAGACACGGUCCAAACUCCUACGGGAGGCAGCAGUGAGGAAUAUUGGUCAAUGGUCGAGAGACUGAACCAGCCAAGUAAGCGUGCAGGAUGACGGCCCUAUGGGUUGUAAACUGCUUUUAUGCGGGGAUAAAGUGACGUACGUGUACGUUUUUGUAGGUACCGCAUGAAUAAGGACCGGCUAAUUCCGUGCCAGCCGCCGC
This 510-nucleotide ribosomal RNA is filed under the name uncultured bacterium. RNAcentral's name for it is "bacterial SSU rRNA". It matches the Rfam family "Bacterial small subunit ribosomal RNA", at positions 17 to 518 of the family's 1533-position model. The record is from RNAcentral.